AAGUCGUAACAAGGUAACCGUAGGUGAACCUGCGGUUGGAUCAUUACUGUAUCCCCAACCUUAUGCUUUUGAAAGAGAAGGGUGUGCAAAUGCCCUUUCCCCUUUUAAAAGUAUAAACACACCGUGUGAACUUUUUUCUGUCUUUUGCUGAUGCUCGGUACUCUUUUGUGAAAGAGAGAGUAUACGGUCAGCAAAACAAUUUAUAUAAACCCCUAGAUUAACAUCCAGUCUUAAAAAACUACUUUAUCAAUAAGAUAAAAACAACUUUUGACAACGGAUCUCUAGGCUCUC
This 291-nucleotide unclassified non-coding RNA is filed under the name fungal sp. RNAcentral's name for it is "partial internal transcribed spacer region". The stretch from base 1 to 46 matches the Rfam family "Eukaryotic small subunit ribosomal RNA", at positions 1786 to 1831 of the family's 1831-position model. The record is from RNAcentral. Lineage: Eukaryota; Fungi.